This 76-nucleotide transfer RNA is filed under the name Escherichia coli. RNAcentral's name for it is "tRNA-Met(cat)". It matches the Rfam family "tRNA". Rfam says of the family: Transfer RNA (tRNA) molecules are approximately 80 nucleotides in length. Their secondary structure includes four short double-helical elements and three loops (D, anti-codon, and T loops). The record is from RNAcentral. RNAcentral also lists the same sequence under 3 other names. Lineage: Bacteria; Pseudomonadati; Pseudomonadota; Gammaproteobacteria; Enterobacterales; Enterobacteriaceae.
CGCGGGGUGGGCAGCCUGGUAGCUCGUCGGGCUCAUAACCCGAAGGUCGUCGGUUCAAAUCCGGCCCCCGCAACCA